Non-coding RNA from Phrynosoma platyrhinos (Desert horned lizard), 72 nucleotides. The record is from the annotation of a GenBank genome assembly. NCBI's taxonomy places the organism in Eukaryota, Metazoa, Chordata, Lepidosauria, Squamata, Phrynosomatidae.
GCCAGCAUGGUGUAGUGCUUUGAGUGCUGGACUAAUAUUCUGGAGAUCAGGGAUCGAUUCCCUGUUCAAGCA